This 468-nucleotide ribosomal RNA is filed under the name uncultured bacterium. RNAcentral describes it as "partial 16S ribosomal RNA". It matches the Rfam family "Bacterial small subunit ribosomal RNA", at positions 28 to 507 of the family's 1533-position model. The record is from RNAcentral.
GACGAACGCUGGCGGCGUGCUUAACACAUGCAAGUCGAACGGAAAGGCCCUGCUUUUGUGGGGUGCUCGAGUGGCGAACGGGCGAGUAACACGUGAGUAACCUGCCCUUGACUUUGGGAUAACUUCAGGAAACUGGGGCUAAUACCGGAUAGGAGCUCCUGCUGCAUGGUGGGGGUUGGAAAGUUUCGGCGGUUGGGGAUGGACUCGCGGCUUAUCAGCUUGUUGGUGGGGUAGUGGCUUACCAAGGCUUUGACGAGUAGCCGGCCUGAGAGGGUGACCGGCCACAUUGGGACUGAGAUACGGCCCAGACUCCUACGGGAGGCAGCAGUGGGGAAUAUUGCACAAUGGGCGGAAGCCUGAUGCAGCAACGCCGCGUGCGGGAUGACGGCCUUCGGGUUGUAAACCGCUUUCGCCUGUGACGAAGCGUGAGUGACGGUAAUGGGUAAAGAAGCACCGGCUAACUACGUG